CAAUGAUACAGUCACGAAACGUUUCUUGGUAGCAGUUUGCUACGCCAAUCUAAUGGAUAUGGUAGCGAUAGUUGAUAGGUUAGCCUUUAGAUCAGGUAGCAGUAGAUUGUGUAGCGUAGAUAUUGUAGCAAUAUGUAGGUAGCAAUAUGUAGGUUCGAACUGAAACACGACAAUAAAAUAAAACUACUUAACUAAGUGAUAUACUUAAGCAUGCAAUAAACUAACGAAUGUCAAUGAAUAACAAAACUAACUAAACAUAAACUAAUAAACAAUCCAAUACUGUAACUUACGUACUUUAGUUUACACCUGUACUCCAAUAGCUGGCUGCUGUAGAUAGAUAAUUGAAGUAGAAAUCCACUAUAUUUGAAUAGGUUGCGUUCGCAUGUCUUUUUGUACUACCGUCAAUUCAAUACUAAAGAGGUGUGACUUAAUGUCACGCAAACAUACAAGGCUGAUAUGCCACAAGGGCAUUACGUAAUUAUGAUCUACUAGAUAUCCUGUUUCAAACUAACAC
Non-coding RNA from Paramuricea clavata, 514 nucleotides. The record is from the annotation of a GenBank genome assembly. Lineage: Eukaryota; Metazoa; Cnidaria; Anthozoa; Malacalcyonacea; Plexauridae.